AUGGAGCCGACCUUGAAAUACCACCCUUUAAUGUUUGAUGUUCUAACGUUGACCCGUAAUCCGGGUUGCGGACAGUGUCUGGUGGGUAGUUUGACUGGGGCGGUCUCCUCCUAAAGAGUAACGGAGGAGCACGAAGGUUGGCUAAUCCUGGUCGGACAUCAGGAGGUUAGUGCAAUGGCAUAAGCCAGCUUGACUGCGAGCGUGACGGCGCGAGCAGGUGCGAAAGCAGGUCAUAGUGAUCCGGUGGUUCUGAAUGGAAGGGCCAUCGCUCAACGGAUAAAAGGUACUCCGGGGAUAACAGGCUGAUACCGCCCAAGAGUUCAUAUCGACGGCGGUGUUUGGCACCUCGAUGUCGGCUCAUCACAUCCUGGGGCUGAAGUAGGUCCCAAGGGUAUGGCUGUUCGCCAUUUAAAGUGGUACGCGAGCUGGGUUUAGAACGUCGUGAGACAGUUCGGUCCCUAUCUGCCGUGGGCGCUGGAGAACUGAGGGGGGCUGCUCCUAGUACGAGAGGACCGGAGUGGACGCAUCACUGGUGUUCGGGUUGUCAUGCCAAUGGCACUGCCCGGUAGCUAAAUGCGGAAGAGAUAAGUGC
Molecule: ribosomal RNA, 592 nt
Filed under: Escherichia coli
Lineage: Bacteria; Pseudomonadati; Pseudomonadota; Gammaproteobacteria; Enterobacterales; Enterobacteriaceae
Description: partial 23S ribosomal RNA
Rfam family: Bacterial large subunit ribosomal RNA
Source: RNAcentral